CCUACGGGUCGCAGCAGUAGGGAAUCUUCGGCAAUGGACGAAAGUCUGACCGAGCAACGCCGCGUGAGUGAAGAAGGUUUUCGGAUCGUAAAACUCUGUUGUUAGAGAAGAACAAGUAGGAGAGUAACUGCUCUUACCUUGACGGUAUCUAACCAGAAAGCCACGGCUAACUACGUGCCAGCAGCCGCGGUAAUACGUAGGUGGCAAGCGUUGUCCGGAUUUAUUGGGCGUAAAGCGAGCGCAGGCGGUCUUUUAAGUCUGAUGUGAAAGCCCACGGCUCAACCGUGGAGGGUCAUUGGAAACUGGGGGACUUGAGUGCAGAAGAGGAGAGCGGAAUUCCACGUGUAGCGGUGAAAUGCGUAGAGAUGUGGAGGAACACCAGUGGCGAAGGCGGCUCUCUGGUCUGUAACUGACGCUGAGGCGCGAAAGCGUGGGGAGCAAACAGGAUUAGAUACCCGGGUAGUC
This 465-nucleotide ribosomal RNA is filed under the name uncultured bacterium. RNAcentral's name for it is "bacterial SSU rRNA". It matches the Rfam family "Bacterial small subunit ribosomal RNA", at positions 338 to 795 of the family's 1533-position model. The record is from RNAcentral.